UCUCACUCAGGGAGAUCUUUUUUCCUGUGCAGAGGGUAGCAGAGCUGGGUGCAGUACUGUAUGUGGAGUCUCAUGAAAAUUGAGGGCUCUUGAGCUGCUGGCCAUGCUCCACAUUGUGCAGCCCUUGCUUGGUGUCCUUGCAGUCUGACUCAAGGUGAAAAUAGGGGCUGUCAUCCUUGGAGUGCUUUUGCUCUAUACAUGAAUCUGUAACACAGCUGAAAUAUAUUGGGAGGGGAGGUUUUGUUUCCAUACUUCACUGCUAGAUGGCAGUGCAUUGGGGUGACACUGAACUCUGCAGGAGGAUGGCAAAGGGCAGGCACACUACAGGAUGUGCUCCUGAAAGUUAAAUUCAGGCUGCAAAGCAGGCAGUAGGAGCUUGGCCAUUGAUUUCAACGGGAAGAAGAGUUCACUCUGAUGGCUGCAGUAAGACAUGAAUCUUCCACUGGGCCCCACUUUCCGAAGUUUUUUCACGGAGGAAAGAAAGUUACCUAGCUAACCUCCUACAGUGUCAUUUCUGAGUCUCCUAAUUCUCCUUUGUUUUUCAAGGAAACCAGUGUGAUUCCAGAGAGGACACCCCUAGAAAGUUAAUUGAAAUAAAUCCAUGAGCCAUAUUUUUACUGAGUAAGAUCGUCAUAAAGUCAUUUAGGACCAAUACUCAGCUACCCAGCACAAUGAAAGCCCACAUGAGCACUCACAAAAUAGGAAUGAAUAUUCUUUCCCUUUCUAAAACUCACCCAUGAAUGGACUUUGCAUAAAACUGGCAUUUUAGAGGCCAAUGUAUGAUGACCUUGAGGAUAACAAAGAAAGUUUUUGGGGCUUUUUUCUCUCUCCUAGUGGAUGGAAUGCAUAUUGAAGUGUGAGUUUCCUGGUUUCCUGGAGUCACAGGGCUGUCAGAAGGCAGCAGAGGCUAAAGGAAACCUCUCCAAUAGCAGAGUCCUUGUUGAGGACAAGUGGUUUCAGAGAUUGGGCAAAAAAGGCUUACCUUACCUUGCUGAUCAUGGAGAAAUUUGUACCUUAGGAAGACUUCAUGGGCGUGGAACCUGUGUUCAGAUUGGAAAGAAUAUUCCCUAAGAAAGAGAGAAGAGGAUCCAGGACAUUUCUUCUUUUCCGUACAAAAAUUGCUGAAAAAGUACUAAAUAAAUUAUUUCUGUUUCUAAAAAUAAACAGUU
Oenanthe melanoleuca is the source of this 1169-nucleotide long non-coding RNA. RefSeq lists it as uncharacterized. NCBI's taxonomy places the organism in Eukaryota, Metazoa, Chordata, Aves, Passeriformes, Muscicapidae. The record is from RefSeq and is a predicted model, not a curated record. The transcript has 3 exons.